This 363-nucleotide ribosomal RNA is filed under the name uncultured bacterium. Its description in RNAcentral is "bacterial SSU rRNA". It matches the Rfam family "Bacterial small subunit ribosomal RNA", at positions 8 to 373 of the family's 1533-position model. The record is from RNAcentral.
AGAGUUUGAUCCUGGCUCAGAUUGAACGCUGGCGGCAGGCCUAACACAUGCAAGUCGAGCGGUAGAGAGAAGCUUGCUUCUCUUGAGAGCGGCGGACGGGUGAGUAAUGCCUAGGAAUCUGCCUAGUGGUGGGGGAUAACGUUCGGAAACGGACGCUAAUACCGCAUACGUCCUACGGGAGAAAGCGGGGGACCUUCGGGCCUCGCGCCAUUAGAUGAGCCUAGGUCGGAUUAGCUAGUUGGUGAGGUAAAGGCUCACCAAGGCGACGAUCCGUAACUGGUCUGAGAGGAUGAUCAGUCACACUGGAACUGAGACACGGUCCAGACUCCUACGGGAGGCAGCAGUGGGGAAUAUUGGACAAUG